AGAGUCCUGAAGUGUUCGUUGCAUUACCUGAAAUAUUGACCGAACAUUAUUCCUUCGGGAGUCCAGAGUUUUUCGGCAGCGCAAAUGCCUCGGCCCAUAGCGGAUUAGGGGACUUGCAAAACAGAGAACAGGACACCCACCUGCUAAGUGCGGGAUCAAUAUGAAGGACCACGAGCGACGGCACGAUUGGGACUCUU
This 197-nucleotide non-coding RNA is filed under the name Neobacillus cucumis. RNAcentral describes it as "6S RNA". It matches the Rfam family "6S / SsrS RNA". Rfam says of the family: E. coli 6S RNA was the first non coding RNA to be sequenced, but its function was unknown until recently. It consists of 184 nucleotides that fold into an extended hairpin structure with a large single-stranded internal bulge. The record is from RNAcentral. Lineage: Bacteria; Bacillati; Bacillota; Bacilli; Caryophanales; Bacillaceae. RNAcentral also lists the same sequence under 2 other names.